UUUCUUUCUUUCUUUCGGUUUUAGCUGCUUACUGUAGAGUUGAGCUUUCUUUAAACUCUCUCGAUGGAGCAUAAUCCAAAGAUCACAAGCUACAUCAUAAUGUGCACAUAUCUGCUGGCAAUGACGUCUGGAAGAGACACUCUCUUGUGCUGCAGAAGAGAUUUCACCAACGGAUCGUCCUCCUGUGAGCUGAGUGACCCCCCAGACCCGAGCUGUGACACGCACUGGAGUGCUGACGGUAUGGCGGUGGUUGAUGAGUUUGGAGGGGUGGAAGAGAGCAGAGUUCAUCAUGCAGCAUCUCAGAGCAUCGUUCUGAGAGGAAAACACACUGAUGUGAUCUUCCGGAUGGACUGUGCUCCACCGAAGGUCAGGAGUUCUGUUCAGUCCAUCAUAUCAAUGCGUGAUAAACACU
Molecule: long non-coding RNA, 412 nt
Filed under: Sinocyclocheilus anshuiensis
Lineage: Eukaryota; Metazoa; Chordata; Actinopteri; Cypriniformes; Cyprinidae
Description: lncRNA (ENSSANG00000022812.1)
Source: RNAcentral